GCCGAAUUGAGAGCAGAGUGUCGGUCAUUUAUUCCCACACCAGACAGCCCUGCACAAGAGGUGCUCUGUGUCAGGGGUCAGUGUAGCACUUCGAGUGCAAAAGAGGGGAUUGGAGAAGUUGGUGUCCAGCAGCAGGAGGUGUCAGCCCCUGUGUUCUCAACAGACCUUGCCAGUGAGACCAAAUCGAGAUUGGAGUGCCAAUCAUCCAGAUCCACACCAAACGACUCUGCAUGUGAG
Sardina pilchardus (European sardine) is the source of this 237-nucleotide long non-coding RNA. RefSeq lists it as uncharacterized. Lineage: Eukaryota; Metazoa; Chordata; Actinopteri; Clupeiformes; Clupeidae. The transcript is spliced from 3 exons. The record is from RefSeq and is a predicted model, not a curated record.